CGCUUUGUUUUCUCAGCUACUGUCAUUAUAAUUUCAAGUACUUCCUGCUCUACUCCUCAGAGUCAGGGAAAUGUGAUGGGAGUAUUUUAGCUGACUUUGUCCGAGGUAAAAUAGUGAAUGGAAGAGAUCAAUAUAACAUAACACCAGGAUAUUCACUUUUGUCGGUAAAAACUAUAUAUUGAUUAAAUGAGAAAUAAUAGCAAAGCAAACUUGUAUUAAAGUUGUUUAGUAUUUGAUAUUCCAAGUAUUCCGAGCAUAGUAAAUUGAAGGAGACUAGAACUGAAAUGACAGAUUUAAUAUAGAGUCGUAUGUAGGCACACAUAGAUUAAAUCAGCAAGGGAAUUAAAACUGCGUUUAUAGCAGACAUAAGUGCGCUUUAUUUUGUAUAUUUAUAUUUGCUCUUCUCUUCAUAUUAUAUGUUUACAAUUUUUCCUGCUGUGAUAUGUGCCUAGCAUUAGCAAAUGAGCUGCACAGGGGAGCGCCAUUGUCAGAGAGCUGAAUCGCCGUGCAGUGCAGUCGAGUGCAGCAGUUGCCGAGCAGUUGCUCUGCUUGAAUCACGUUUUAAUGGCGCUCUCGUAUCAGUAGCCCGAAGAUUAGACACUCUGUGCGUGUGCUACGAAUAUUCUAAAUUUUAAUCAGAUAGGAGUGAGCGUUAGGUAAACAAGGCGAAACAGCCACAUCGCAAAUAUGGAUUAGUGUGCAUGUGGGACGCUUGGCAUGUCUUCCUUAUUUGCCAUGCGCCGCGAAAAGAGAAAGUAUUGCUUCUGAGUGAUGCUCGAACCUAUUGCUAAGCUAAGCUCUAUUGUCAGGGUUUUGGUGUCCAGGUCUCAGGUCGAGUAUCUCAAGUACUGACCAAUUUCACAUCUAUUGUGACCAGAAAGUUCUAUGCAAUAAAGAAAUUCGACGCUAGAUUAGAUAAGUUAAGAUCGUGGGAUUAUGGCAAUAUGAAUUUCAUCAGCGCUGACGCUACUUCGGCUCUCUUUUCACGUUGACAAGCCGUGGAGCACGAAUGCCUGCCAAAGCAUAAUGAACUCCAUCAGAUGCUCGACGAAAUGUGCCCGUUGGUGGCACUGCCCGCCUUGGCCACGCCCUCCUGGCCCACGUAGCCCAGUUCCCUUUGCACGGCCGAAGGUCGCCGAUUGCGCGUCUCCGGCAGCAGCGGCAUCGAAAUGAGUCCCACGAGGAUGGAGGCGGCUGCAAACACCCACAGAAUCCUCAGUGCAGCGCUCCACUCACCUCAAUCAUGCCGAAGAGCAGCAGCCAAGAAACGCCCGAGGCCACUGAAUAUAGCAAGUCGUGCAGCUGUGAAAAUCCAAUUCGGAGAACGUAUUAUAAAUGUGUAAAUGUGAAGCAGCAGAACAGCACUUAAGAACCCAAACAGCACAAUUAGAAAUUUGCAGUUAGCUAGCAUUUUGGUAAAUAAUGAUUUCGCAUUUGGAAAGUCAUUUUAAGCUCAGAUAAUUUAAUUUCAUUUCUGUCUGAUGGCACAUUCAAUUCCUAUGAAUAUGCGAUUAAAUUCACUAAUUCUUAUUAUUUGUAAAUUAAGCAAACACAACAUAAAAUAUAUACUAAUGUAUGAAAUAUAUGUAUAUGUAUGUAUAUAUAAAUUAAUUGAAGCGAUGGCAUGAAAAGUAUGCAAUGCAUUUAGGUUUUUGCAAUCAAAAGUGUUCAGCCCUCACUAUUAAACAGAAUUUCAAAGAAUGAAUGGCAUCCAAUUAAAUGCAAAAUAUGAAUAGCAAUGCGCCCAUGCACAGAAUCAGAAUGAAAUUGGCAACUUUACAGAAUUUAAUAAAUUACGGCUUCAUCCGUGGGCCAUGACUGAUUACACUA
Long non-coding RNA from Drosophila mojavensis, 1830 nucleotides. RefSeq lists it as uncharacterized. The transcript is spliced from 3 exons. Lineage: Eukaryota; Metazoa; Arthropoda; Insecta; Diptera; Drosophilidae. The record is from RefSeq and is a predicted model, not a curated record.